UACGGAGGGUGCAAGCGUUAAUCGGAUUUAUUGGGCGUAAAGAGCACGUAGGCGGAGUGGUAAGUUAGAUGUGAAAUCCCGGGGCUCAACUCCGGACCCGCAUCUAAAACUCCCAUUCUAGAGGAUGGACGGAGAAAAGGGAAUUCCACGUGUAGCGGUGAAAUGCGUAGAUAUGUGGAAGAACACCGGUGGCGAAGGCGCUUUUCUAGUUUAUUCCUGACGCUGAGGUGCGAAAGCAAGGGGAGCAAACAGG
RNAcentral lists this ribosomal RNA (253 nucleotides) under uncultured organism. RNAcentral describes it as "partial 16S ribosomal RNA". It matches the Rfam family "Bacterial small subunit ribosomal RNA", at positions 524 to 776 of the family's 1533-position model. The record is from RNAcentral.